GACGAACGCUGGCGGCGUGCUUAACACAUGCAAGUCGAACGGAAAGGCCCUGCUUUUGUGGGGUGCUCGAGUGGCGAACGGGUGAGUAACACGUGAGUAACCUGCCCUUGACUUUGGGAUAACUUCAGGAAACUGGGGCUAAUACCGGAUAGGAGCUCCUGCUGCAUGGUGGGGGUUGGAAAGUUUCGGCGGUUGGGGAUGGACUCGCGGCUUAUCAGCUGGUUGGUGGGGUAGUGGCUUACCAAGGCUUUGACGGGUAGCCGGCCUGAGAGGGUGACCGGCCACAUUGGGACUGAGAUACGGCCCAGACUCCUACGGGAGGCAGCAGUGGGGAAUAUUGCACAAUGGGCGGAAGCCUGAUGCAGCAACGCCGCGUGCGGGAUGACGGCCUUCGGGUUGUAAACCGCUUUCGCCUGUGACGAAGCGUGAGUGACGGUAAUGGGUAAAGAGGCACCGGCUAACUACGUGCCAGCCGCCGCAGUAA
This 484-nucleotide ribosomal RNA is filed under the name uncultured bacterium. RNAcentral's name for it is "partial 16S ribosomal RNA". It matches the Rfam family "Bacterial small subunit ribosomal RNA", at positions 28 to 523 of the family's 1533-position model. The record is from RNAcentral.